This 67-nucleotide transfer RNA is filed under the name Trachinocephalus myops (snakefish). RNAcentral describes it as "tRNA-Tyr". It matches the Rfam family "tRNA". Rfam says of the family: Transfer RNA (tRNA) molecules are approximately 80 nucleotides in length. Their secondary structure includes four short double-helical elements and three loops (D, anti-codon, and T loops). Further hydrogen bonds mediate the characteristic L-shaped molecular structure. tRNAs have two regions of fundamental functional importance: the anti-codon, which is responsible for specific mRNA codon recognition, and the 3' end, to which the tRNAs corresponding amino acid is attached (by aminoacyl-tRNA synthetases). tRNAs cope with the degeneracy of the genetic code in two manners: having more than one tRNA (with a specific anti-codon) for a particular amino acid; and 'wobble' base-pairing, i.e. permitting non-standard base-pairing at the 3rd anti-codon position. The record is from RNAcentral. Lineage: Eukaryota; Metazoa; Chordata; Actinopteri; Aulopiformes; Synodontidae. RNAcentral also lists the same sequence under 1 other name.
GGUAGGGUGGCCGAGCAGGUGGUGGAUUGUAGCUCCAUGCACAGAGGUUCAAGCCCUCUUCCUAUCA